Long non-coding RNA from Hippocampus zosterae (dwarf seahorse), 169 nucleotides. RefSeq lists it as uncharacterized. The transcript is spliced from 2 exons. The record is from RefSeq and is a predicted model, not a curated record. NCBI's taxonomy places the organism in Eukaryota, Metazoa, Chordata, Actinopteri, Syngnathiformes, Syngnathidae.
GACCCCCACAUACUCGUAGUUUGACAACUGCAGAAUCUCCCAGUCUCACAUCUUUUUUUAAAAUCAAUUUUUUUGCGUUUUACUUUUUUUUUUGCAGGGGGAGCUAAUCCUCAUGUUUUGUGGAAAACACAUAUUGAAGGUGGACCCCCACAUACUCGCAGUUUGGCAU